UCCAAGUGACUUCAUAGAGUUACACUCUUGUUUGCAAUUAGUUACAAGUAGUCUUCAAGUGGUAAACUGGUUGAACCCUAAAAAAUUGUUUGGAUGUUAGUUAUUCGGAAACUAGUAUUUUAAUCUUCCCUAGAAACAGGGCUUUCUAUAGUUGUAACGAAGAUCUUCGGCCGGUCAAAAAGCCUAAUGAAUGAAGAUAUUGAAAUACAGUUCUUCACUACUGAACCUUACUCUCACGUGUAAUUGCAUCGAGGUUGAAUUUAGCUCAAAAUUCAACUCCAGGUUGUAGGUACACAUUUCCCCAGCUCCUCCUAAUUUCCUGAUCCUCAACACCCUCCACCACAUCCUGACCCUUCAUGUAUCAUGUAUGUCUUUUCUGUUCCUCAUACAGGGUUCAGAUGACUGCAGGUCUGAGGCACGGGCUCCCUCCAAUAUGACGGUGGCUUGGCAUUCGGGACACCAGCUUUAGAUGGUGGCAGAGCUCUGGAGGCUGAGGAAAGGAGCCGAGUCCUUUCAGAAAACGUUAUCUGGUUAUAUUAUCCAAAAUCAAGAGUUUUCACCUCAAAACUGGCUUGGGUAAUCUUUUCUCUAUUUAUCUUUUUCUUCAUCUACAAAAUAAGACACUUGCAAAAUGCACUUUGAGUCUGUCACCUUCACAGUAUCAUGCUAAUAUUCAGCACUGCACAAAUAUUAUUGAUUUUUGGACAGCCUGCACUCUUCACCAAAUUCUUUCAAAUUUCAUUAAUUCUGUAUCUGGCAACAAUAUGCAUUAGUAUAUAUAUCUUAAAGUUCAAAUACACUUAAAGGCUCUCAUCAAAGUAACACACCCUGAUAAUUUCCAGAGAAAUCAUGGGUUCCUAUCAAGACGCCAAAUGGUACGGCAUGUUGCAUCCUCCUCCCAGAACUUCAGAAGUCCUAAGGAACUAUGCACUCCCAGAAAUAACAAGAGUGACAACCCUGGGAAAUGACAGAGGCCUGAAGGCUGUCUCUUAGUUGGUGGGUAGCCUGGGAUUAGGGGCAGUGGGUGGCCCCUUGGUGAAAGAACAGACAAAUGGACCAAAGGAGCAGAACAGAGAGCCUAGAAAUAGAUGCCCGUUAACAUACUCCACCGUUCUUUGACAAAGGAGCACAGACCAUACAACGGAGCAAAGACAGUCUUAUCAACGAAUGGUGCUGGAAGAACUGGACAUCCACGUGCGAGACAAUGAACGUGCACAUGGACCUUUACACCUUUACAAAACGGAAAUCAAAAUGCAUUAUAGACCCACAUGUAAAAAGCAAAACUCUAGAAUUCCUAGAAGACAAUAACACGGAAGAAAACCGAGAUGACCUCUUUAUAAACAUGACUUUCUAGAUGUGACAGCAAAAUCAAGAUCCUGAAAGGAAUAACUGAUAAGCUGGACUUCAUUAACAUUUUAAACUGCUGCUCCACAAGACACAAUGUCAAGAGGAUAAAAACACAAGCCACAGACUGGGAGAAAACAUGUGCAAAAGGCACAGUUGAUAAAGGAAUAACAAAUAUACAAAUACGCAAAGAAAUCUUAAAACUAGACAACAAGAACACACACAACCAGAUUAAAAAAGGGGGCAAACAACUUAACAGACAUCUGGCCAAAGAAGACAUAAAAAUGGCAACUAAGAGUACGAGACGAUGCUCCACAUCAUAUGGCUCCAGGGAAAUGCAAAUUGAACAACAAUGAGAUACCACUACACACCUGUUAGAAUAGUCAAAAUAUGGAACACUAACAACAGCAAUUGCUGACAAGCAUGUGGAGCAAUGGAGACACUCAUUCAGUAUUGGUGGCAAGGCAAAACGGAACAGCCACUCUGGAAGGCAGUUUAGGGUUUUCUUACAAAACUAAGCAUAACCCUUAACGUACGAUCCAGCUUAACAUACGCUCCUUGGUAUUUACCCCAAGGAGUUCAAAACUUACACGCAGAUGAAAACCUGCACACAAAUGUUGAUAGCAGCUUUAUUCGUUAUCGCCAAAAAGCGGAAGCAACCAAGAUGUCCUGCACCAGAUGAACGGAUAAACAAACCGUGGUACAUCUAGUCAACGGCAUAUUAUUCGGCGCUAAAAAGCAACGAGCUAUCGAGCUGUGAAAAGAAACCUUACAUGCAUGUUACUUUGUGAAAGAAGCCAAUCUGAAAAGGUUGCAUACUGUAUGAGGCCAACUAUAUGACAUUCUGGACGUGGCAAAAUUGGGGCGACAGGAAAAGAUCGGUGGUUGCCAGGAGUUGGCGGGGAGAAGGAUGAAUAGGCGGAGCACAAAGGAUUUUUAGGGCAGUGAAAAUACUCCAUCGUUAUGAAACUCUAAUGACAGAUUCAUGUCAUUCUACUUUUAUCCAAACCCAUAGAAUGUAUGACACCAAGAGUGAGUCGCAAUGUAAACCAUAAAUCAGAUAAUAUUCUAUUAUGGCUUUCAUUUUCCAAUUCUGGUCAUCGUGUUAUGGUCACGGAAGUGAAAAUUUUCUGAUUUUGAUCACUGUGCUGUGGUUAGGUGUCCCUGAAGGUAGGAAAAUAAAACUGAAAUAUUCAGGAGUAAAGGGUAUGUGGUCUGCAUUUUCUCUCUAAUGAUUCAGGAAUAGAGCCUAAGUGUGUAGGAAGGUGUGUGUCACGUGUGUGUCUAUCAAACAUCUUCUGCCUCAACUCACAUAAAAAUCAGGUCUAGAUACAGAUAUAUUGAGAGAGAGAGCUCUUUCUAUGUGUAUAUCUAUAUCUAAACGUAUUUUCUUUCUCUCUCUCUCUUUCUAUAUAUAUCUAUAGAUAGAUAGAUAGAUAGAUAGAUUUAUGUCUAUAUACCUACAUAUCCAUAUGAUGGGAAUAACAAAGGAAAUGUGACAAAAUGUUAACAAUUGGAAAUGUAAGCAAAGGGUAUACUGGAGCUUUUGGAACCAUUUGCGAGAAAUUUCUGUAUGUGUUGGAAUAUUGUUCAGUCUUAAAAAGAAAUGAAAUUCUGACACAUGCUGCAACAUGGAUUGACUUUGAGGGCAUUGUGCUAAAUGAAAUAACUAGUCACAAGAAGACAAAUUUUGCAUGGUUCCACUGACAUGACAUACCUAGAGUAGUCAAACUCACAGAAACAGAAGGUAGAAUGGUGGUUGCCAAGAGCUUGGGAAAGGGGCAACGGGGAGAGUAGUUUAAUGUGUACAGAGUUUCAGUUUUGCAAGACGAGAAGAGUUCUGCAGGUUGGCUGCACAACAAUAUGAAGGUACCUAACGCUACAGAAUGGCACACGUAAAAAUGCUGAAGAUGAUCAAUUUUAGGUUACAUGCAUUUACCGCAAUUUAGAAAUCUGCAUAAGUUUUGAAUUCUUACAAUGGAAAAAGUGUUUCAAAAAUAGCUCUCCUGGUGCUUGUUCUGGUGAAAAUGAGAUUGGGGAAAAAAGGAGAUAGUACAAAAAAGCUGACGUUGAAAAACCAAACAUUUUCUGUCUCAACUCAUCCUACAUCCAACCUAUUCUACCAAGGAAACUUGAAAGUGCAUUUAGAACAAUGCCCCUUAUUGAGUCUAUUUCUUGAUUUGCUCUGUCAACCUCCUGACUAAAGACUCAAAGGGCUAUCUUCACUGUGUCUCUCCACACUCUGUCUGGAGUCGGCUCCCUGUUUUGUGGUCAGCUCUCACUCUUCUCAGCAUUCCCGUGGGAGAGGGAAUACCGAGCUGCACAGACUCUCCAGCCCUUACAAGCCCAUAUAGCGGCAGAGACAACAUACCCUCUCCACAUCCCAGACAUCACCCCAAAAGAUGUCCACAUACCUGGGAAUGCACAGUCUAGGAGUGCAUCUCUAGAAAAGCCUACCUCUCUAGAAAGCUACAGUUGGUACGUCUACGGUUCACGAUUGGAGUUUGUAUUGUUUGUAGAGCCUCAAGCAUGACCCCUCAUUGCCUUGCCAGUGCUACUAGGAUUGAGCCAAAACCAUUCAGCAGAGCCUACAAUGCCCUUCAAAAUCUGGCCCUGCCAGCCCUCAUCCUUGUGGCGCACCUCUCUCUCCCUCAAUCCUGUUCUCCAGUCCUGACCUCCUUUUAUUUCCUCCCAAGAGCCAUAUGCCUUCCAACACUGCUCAAUGACGUCAG
Molecule: long non-coding RNA, 4076 nt
Organism: Equus quagga
Lineage: Eukaryota; Metazoa; Chordata; Mammalia; Perissodactyla; Equidae
Exons: 2
Source: RefSeq, a predicted model, not a curated record